Molecule: long non-coding RNA, 264 nt
Filed under: Rosa chinensis
Lineage: Eukaryota; Viridiplantae; Streptophyta; Magnoliopsida; Rosales; Rosaceae
Description: sRNA RchiOBHm_Chr5g0060541
Source: RNAcentral
CGCUCUCUCUUUCUUCACUGGCCUCUCAGUUUUCUCCGUCAUCGACAAUUCGAGAUUGCCAAGGAGACCGCCAAGGACUGGGUUAAGCUCACCGUCCAAAACCGUCAGGCCAAGGUCUCGGUGGUCCCCUCUACCGCCUCUUUGGGAUCUGCGUUUUGCUUGGAGCCGGAUCGCGACCGCAAAAUGUCAACUGCUUCAGAUUCGUUUUCUCUACCUUCUUCCUUCACACAUCUCUCAGCCGGAGCUUCCUCCUUUCCCUCCAGG